RNAcentral lists this long non-coding RNA (813 nucleotides) under Androctonus crassicauda. Lineage: Eukaryota; Metazoa; Arthropoda; Arachnida; Scorpiones; Buthidae. The record is from RNAcentral.
AGAAUAAAUGAACAACUAUCGGUGUUACCUACAUUCGAACAAUGGAACACUUUUCUCAUUUGAAUGUCAUCGGACGCGACUCUCUCUCGCUUAUGCCGAAACCGAAACUGUACCGCGUCGCCAAAACGCGGCGUGGUCAUGUCUGCAAACAGAAAAAAUCGUCUGAAAUCGCAAAGCGCAAACCUGCGCAUAUGUUUUUUUGUACUAUGCAUAGCCAAUGAGACAAACUUUCAUGUAUUACAAACGAUAUUACGUAUAAUGCAAUAUAUUAAACUUUUGAAUGCCCUAUUUAUCUUUGAACUUAAACGUUGUCUACGGAUAAAGUUAAUAAAUAUUUCUUUUUAAACAAAAUGUUAUAAAAAACCCUUUUGAUAAUACUAAAUAACUAGUAGAAAACAUUUAGUUUUAAAUCACUAUUAUCGAGGUAAGUAAAAAAAAAAACAGAUUUCAGAAAUAAAAGCAAAACUUCCUUUUUAAUUUAAAUUCUAUAUUAGGUAGAGCCUUUAUCAAACAACUAGAUAUGUAUUUAUUAAGUAUAGACCUCCUACAAUCAAAGUUUAAUUUAUGUUUUUUAAUUUCACCACUUUCAAAAAUGAAUUAUGUUUCGCAAAAACCAUAAAAUCUCACACUGUGCGUCGGUCAGAUGAGCGCAUGAUAAUGCAAUUGCCUACCACUUUAGAGUAUGCGGAUACUAUUUCGAGUCCAACACUUCCAGAUUUUCAGUAGUAGUUUGGAUUCCGCCCGUUGAAAUUCAUCCUUCAACUUUCUGAUUGAUCGUAUCAUGGUUGUUGGCCAGCAUGUAUUGGGCUGUAA